This is a long non-coding RNA of Parus major (Great Tit), 2876 nucleotides long. RefSeq lists it as uncharacterized. The transcript has 2 exons. The record is from RefSeq and is a predicted model, not a curated record. Lineage: Eukaryota; Metazoa; Chordata; Aves; Passeriformes; Paridae.
GAUUUACUUGGGCCGAUUUACUUGGUGCUGGGUGCUGAAACCUUCCCGGAGGCACAGAGACAAAAACACAGCUGAUGUGAGAGCAGCAGGGGCUCACUCCACAACUGUCCUGAAAUGCAGCCCCUCGUGCUGAGUGUUGUACAGAACAUGGACACAGAUGCUGCUGCUUCGUCCUUGGAGCCUUGGGGAAGCACUGGAGUGAGUGGCAGCCGAGGCAUUUCACACCUCAGUGAGCACAUCCUCCCCAGGGCCAGGGAACAUCUUGAACAAUGGAUGGAUCAGGAAGAUGAUGAAUAGCCUGAAAUGCUGAUGAAGAACAUUCUCUUCUCAUUGACUCAAACUCAAGAAGAUAGAUGUUAAUAUUAUUUUAAAGCCACCUUCAUUGGAUUCUACCUUCUCUAUGCAAUCCACUUAUAUGAUCUCAUUGUCAGGUUAACUGAACACUUUACAGAUUUAAAGGCAUUUAUUCUCCCAAGAGCCCCAUGAAGGAGGAAAAUACAGUUGUCCCAUUAUAUGGGUUUGGAGCUGUGGCACAGAGGUGCAGCGUCACACACGGUGAGGCAGGGAAUUAAACACAGCUUUCCUAAAUCCCAGGCUGUCACCCUAACUACUGUUCCUGCACAUUUUACAGCAAAAUGAGUGGUUAAACUUGAGUCCCUGCUCUGGGUUUCCUCCUACCUACAUUAAUCUCUGAGCACCUUAGCAAACCUGAAAGAGUGCUACAUCAACAGGAUGGAGAGGGUCAGUAGAAGAAGUGUCCCAUUUAUUACAGCUUCUUGAUCAUGACUGAAUGGAUCACAUGCCUUAGGAUCCACUGGCAAAAGGUAAAUAGUUCCCAGAGGUAAUCUUUCAGCUGCUAAGAAUGGGAUACAAUACCUUACAAGAGUACAAAUGAGCUGUCAGAGAUGAUAAAAGCAGGUACAGCCUGGACUCGAUGCGCAGGAAAGGAUCAUAUUUCAGAAGUUCAAAAAGGGUUCAAAUUAAAAACAAGCAAACAAAAAAAACCCCAAAACCAAACAAACAAACAAACAAAAAAAUAAAAAAAAACAAAACAAAACCCAAAAACUCCAAAAAGGACAACAACAAAUAACCCAAUAUUGGCCCUGUGCAGCAAGAACAGCAAGAAACACCAAAGUCAUUCUAUACUGCUUGUAGGAGCCCUGGGGAGUCCGCAGCUGCCAACCACUGCAAAAAGGUUCCCUUAACUCAGUGGAUCAUGUUCCAGAAAUUAUAAUUAUUCAAGAGAAUCCAUUCUGUCUCCCACCAGCCCCUCAAGCUUUGAACCUUGUGAGUUUCUGUGCCUAUGGACGUUGGAAAGGGGCAAACAUUUGCCCCUAAAUAUUCUCUGGACCCAAUGGUCUAAUGGGUGCCACUCCUGAGCAUCUCCAUGCUCUUUCUCACCUUAGGAAAAUUGGAAUGGGAUUAUCUUGGAGACUCUUAUCAAUCUCCAAGGUGACCAACUUCAUUUACAUCAUUCCUGAAGGAUAUCUGUUCUGUACUGUGUGACUGCACAUUCUCAGCUGAUUUUCUUUCCCAUUGUUUAAAGGUAUCCAAACCAAGGGAUGUGUUGUGCCCUUCUUCAGUGUUGAGUUAGAGCUCAGUCCUGGUGCAGCUGUUUUAUGGAAUUUUCUGUGCCUUUUCACCUUAGAUUAUUACAAGACUCUCACCUGCAUAAUAUUCUUAGCUCUGAGCAGUUUUAAACUUGUUUAAAAACUAACUCCUCAUCAGGGCUUAAAUAUAAUUUUUCCUGAUAUGGAUGUGCAUCCACCAUCUGGACCUUGGCACAACCACACACCCAAACAUUUUAAGGGAACAGAUCAAAUGUGGAAGUAUUGCCAACAUGCUGCUGCACAAAUAGUUCUGUCUUUCCUGCUGGAUGAUGCAAACAUUUCACAAACACGUACGGCAAUAGAUCCUCUCUUCAUGCUAGCUCUGUCAGGGCAGAUUCAUUUCAUCAUGCAUGGAAAUUGAAGAAUUAUUCCAGUUACAUGCUCCUAAUUGCCACCCCAUUCCUCUCCUAGGUUUUCUCUUUCUGUGACCUUUUCUAAGUCAGAUUUAAAUUUGGGGUUAUAAAGUCCUUAGAGAAAAUUAAGAUGGCCCAAACAUCUCAUUUACUGAGGUGAAAUAUCUUCAUUAAUCUCCAGCAACUUCUGCCAUGUGAUGCUGGAAAGCAAAUGAUGGGGUAUUUUUGAGAUGCGAGAAGUGAAGGAGGAUGCAAUGGAAAUUAUGAGUUUCUGUAUCUCCUCUGACUGCAAUAACCAUAUGGUUACCAGAUUUAAAGCUUUUGAAAUGUGGCAUUGACCACUGAGGAACACAGAACCAUGAGACCCAGGCAGGAGAGGAUGUGAGCCAAGGAGGCACAGAGGUGACAAUGUGGAUCUUACAAGCUCUACAAUCCAGGGAGGCCUUUAGAAUAAAUUCCCUUGUUGUCACCACAUGGAGCAAACUGGGACUGGUUCUGCACAUUGAUUCUGCUGAAACCUUUGUCCAAGUAACAUCAUUUUAACAAAGGGUCCAAGAUUUGUGAAUGUACUACAGGAAAUCCCACGUUGCUUGGGACAGCUGGUGUGGCAGCGUGUGACAGACUGGAGCCAACGUGCUGUUUUCCCACCUGGUAGUGUGUCCCAUCUCCUUCUAGAAGACACCUGUGGCAAAUUCACCCCUAACAGGAGACUUUUCUGCUCCCUGAAAGAUGAAGGUCACAGUCUGUGUUGUUAUUUGUGCUUAAUAAAAUCACUGAACUUUUUGCUCCUCCAUUUUUAUUGCAGAGCUUAACCUCCCUGUACCCCAUAUUUCCUCUCAUAAACUAAGAAAUUUUCAUUUUUCUGUUCUGAUACCUUCACUUUAUUAAAAAAAAUAAAAAUCACAGUACCAAA